This 488-nucleotide ribosomal RNA is filed under the name uncultured archaeon. RNAcentral describes it as "bacterial SSU rRNA". It matches the Rfam family "Archaeal small subunit ribosomal RNA", at positions 166 to 656 of the family's 1478-position model. The record is from RNAcentral.
AUUUCUGGAAUGAUUCAUGGCUCAAACCUACAUGGCCUCUGGAUUGGACUGCGGCCGAUCCGGCUGUUGGUGAGGUAAUGGCCCACCAAACCUGUUACCGGUACGGGCUCUGAGAGGAGGAGCCCGGAGAUGGGCACUGAGACAAGGGCCCAGGCCCUAUGGGGCGCAGCAGGCGCGAAACCUCUGCAAUAGGCGAAAGCCUGACAGGGUUACUCUGAGUGAUUUCCGCUAAGGGAAUCUUUUGGCACCUCUAAAAAUGGUGCAGAAUAAGGGGUGGGCAAGUCUGGUGUCAGCCGCCGCGGUAAUACCAGCACCCCGAGUGGUCGGGACGAUUAUUGGGCCUAAAGCAUCCGUAGCCGGUCCUACAAGUCUUCCGUUAAAUUCCAGCUGCUUAACAGAUGGGCCGCGGGAGAUACUACAGGGCUAGGAGGCGGGAGAGGCAAGCGGUACUUUAUGGCUAGGGGUAAAAUCCGCUGAUCCAUACAACA